AUGAGAAUAGCUCAGUGAUAGAGCAAAUGCUUAGCAUGCAUGAGGUCUGGGGUUCAACCCCCAGUACUUCCA
This 72-nucleotide transfer RNA is filed under the name Camelus bactrianus (Bactrian camel). It matches the Rfam family "tRNA". Rfam says of the family: Transfer RNA (tRNA) molecules are approximately 80 nucleotides in length. Their secondary structure includes four short double-helical elements and three loops (D, anti-codon, and T loops). Lineage: Eukaryota; Metazoa; Chordata; Mammalia; Artiodactyla; Camelidae. The record is from Rfam by way of RNAcentral. RNAcentral also lists the same sequence under 2 other names.